Molecule: ribosomal RNA, 253 nt
Filed under: uncultured bacterium
Lineage: Bacteria
Description: partial 16S ribosomal RNA
Rfam family: Bacterial small subunit ribosomal RNA
Source: RNAcentral
GACGUAGGGCGCGAGCGUUGUCCGGAUUUAUUGGGCGUAAAGAGCUCGUAGGCGGUUUGUCACGUCGGCCGUGAAAACUCGGGGCUCAACCCCGAGCCUGCGGUCGAUACGGGCAGACUAGAGUGCUGUAGGGGAGACUGGAAUUCCUGGUGUAGCGGUGAAAUGCGCAGAUAUCAGGAGGAACACCGGUGGCGAAGGCGGGUCUCUGGGCAGUAACUGACGCUGAGGAGCGAAAGCGUGGGGAGCGAACAGG